CAAAUGACUCUCGGCAAUGGAUAUCUCGGCUCUUGCAUCGAUGAAGAACGUAGUGAAAUGCGAUACUUGGUGUGAAUUGCAGAAUCUCGUGAACCAUUGAGUCUUUGAACGCAAGUUGUGCCCGAGGCCUUGUGGUCGAGGGCACGCCUGCUUGGGCGUCACGAC
RNAcentral lists this ribosomal RNA (165 nucleotides) under Curcuma myanmarensis. Its description in RNAcentral is "5.8S ribosomal RNA". It matches the Rfam family "5.8S ribosomal RNA". Rfam says of the family: 5.8S ribosomal RNA (5.8S rRNA) is a component of the large subunit of the eukaryotic ribosome. It is transcribed by RNA polymerase I as part of the 45S precursor that also contains 18S and 28S rRNA. Functionally, it is thought that 5.8S rRNA may be involved in ribosome translocation. The record is from RNAcentral. Lineage: Eukaryota; Viridiplantae; Streptophyta; Magnoliopsida; Zingiberales; Zingiberaceae.